AGUCGACGGCAGCACGGGGGCAACCCUGGUGGCGAGUGGCGAACGGGUCAGUAAUACAUCGGAACGUGCCCAGUCGUGGGGGAUAACGUAGCGAAAGCUACGCUAAUACCGCAUACGAACUCUGGUUGAAAGCGGGGGAUCGCAAGACCUCGCGCGAUUGGAGCGGCCGAUGGCAGAUUAGGUAGUUGGUGGGGUAAAGGCUCACCAAGCCGACGAUCUGUAGCUGGUCUGAGAGGACGACCAGCCACACUGGGACUGAGACAAGGCCCAGACUCCUACGGGAGGCAGCAGUGGGGAAUUUUGGACAAUGGGCGCAAGCCUGAUCCAGCCAUUCCGCGUGCAGGAUGAAGGCCCUCGGGUUGUAAACUGCUUUUGUACGGAACGAAAAGGCUCUGGUUAAUACCUGGGGCUCAUGACGGUACCGUAAGAAUAAGCACCGGCUAACUACGUGCCAGCAGCCGCGGUAAUACGUAGGGUGCAAGCGUUAAUCGGAAUUACUGGGCGUAAAGCGUGCGCAGGCGGUGAUGUAAGACAGGUGUGAAAUCCCCGGGCUUAACCUGGGAACUGCAUUUGUGACUG
RNAcentral lists this ribosomal RNA (579 nucleotides) under uncultured bacterium. RNAcentral's name for it is "bacterial SSU rRNA". It matches the Rfam family "Bacterial small subunit ribosomal RNA", at positions 60 to 635 of the family's 1533-position model. The record is from RNAcentral.